GGACCAACACCACCGGCGAUGCCCAGCCAGAGUGUGAUGGUUCCACAAUUCCUGCUUUCACCAUUUCUUCAAGCUGCUCUUUUACAACAAACUGCUUGGCAGGUGACAUGCGGUAAGGACGCUGUUUGAUAGGGACCUGAUGGUUGGUAUAAAUACAGUGUUUGAGAACAUCAGUACGUCCAGGUUGUACAACACACACUUGGGUGUUGGUUUCUAAGAUGGUCUUUAACAUUUGUUUGUCAAGGGAAGAUAGAUGUGCUUCACUUACUGCUGUGUCGAUUAAUGUUUGUACAUUUUCCUCGACAGAUGCCGUUAUGAAUGCAGGUUGGGGUGGAGGAACAGAACUUAAUAGUGAGAGGGAUGGGUUGAGUGUCCUUGGACGCUGCUCUGGUUGUUGGCCUGAAGGGUUAGGUAUGCUGUGAGGAACAUCAGGUACACUGGCAUUACCAGGUUGAAAAGGAUACUCCUCUUGUGGAGUAGUCUUGAAGGAAUAUUUUCUAUCAAUGACAUUUAUUUGUAAGCCACUGAAGAAAAUGAAAUCCAACCCUAAAAUCACAGCGUAUGCAAGUGCUUGGGGGGACAGGAUAGCAACGGGUAGAGUAAAAGUUCGGUCAUGCAUAUUGAUUUGCAAUUGAACCCAUCCUAAUGGGACUUCUGCUUCACCAUUUGCUAGGUACAGUGGGCCAAGUGACCAAGGCUUGAGUUCUCCUGGCAAGAAGAGCUUUCUCCACAGGCUUUCGUGGAUCAUGGUAUAACUUGCACCUGUAUCCAGAAUGGCUUUUCCAUACCAUCUGCCAAUACCGACUGGAAUGAUAAGCUGUUGAGGAAUGAUAGCAGUAGGGACAGGGGCUGGUUUAGAGGGGGUUUUCUUUAUGUUCUUAAAAUUUGACGUUUUGUUUGUUGUGGCCGUGAUAAAAUUGUUUGUGGCUUGACCUCCAGGCUUAUGCGACUGAAACUGGCGUGGCUUGGGCUGGUGUUGUUUGGCAGAUUGGUUUGUGGUUAGGGAGGCAUAAUGUGGACAGUAACCAGGUGAGUGGUUUCCUUUACAUCUCCAACAUUGAAUUUGUGGUUUUUCAGGUUGCUUGUUACUGGUGGUUUUCUGUGACACUUCAGAUUGUAGUUUUUGGCCCAUGCACAUUUCAUAUUGCAACUGCAGCUCAUAGUCUUUCUCCAGUUGGUGUCCUAGCUUUACAAGCUCUUCCACUGUGCUUACCCGUCCGCGCAGCUGACUGGCUAGCUCGUCUUCAUAAUCUUCAGAAAGAAAAGCGGACAGAAAAGCAGUCUCAAACUCACUCCAUGUCAUUAUUGAAGAGCGAGCAACCUCCCACCAGUCACGUGCUGUGCCGUGAAGUACACUGCGGAAGGUUGCCAACAAGUCACUCUCUGCAAGAGGAUGCAAUGCUAAAAAGUCCUGACACCGGGUUAGAUACAGCAGAGGAUCGACGUCAUCAGACGGUCUUCCAAAAGUGGGAAAGGUCAACUUUAAAUGGUCACUUUUCCCAGCAGGAAUAGGGGGACACUCUGGGACAUUUUCUAGCGGUGAUGGUGUGGUAAGUGUGAAAUGGGAGGUUGGUUGUACCCCUUUACUUUGGUGAUCAGCCAUGUCUUCAACUUGCCGUUUACCUUUCUCCAUGUCUGUUUGAAGUUCUUUUAGUUGAGUGGUUAGCUUGUCAACCUGAGUGAUGCAAUGAUUACACUCAGUAGAGAGCUGCUCAUGAUCCUUUUGAAGGUUCUUUUGUGUAGCUCUGAUGUCUCUCUGAAGUUCAACCUGAAGUUGCUCCACCAUGAAACGGACUUCAGCAAUCAAGGUAGACUCUAUUUUUUGUAGCUCAUGUGACAUCAUCACUUUCAUGGCUUUGACUAAUUGAUCUGAAUCUGUGGAAUCCACCUUUGUUGCAGUUAACGUAGUGAGAAUUUGUUGUUUGUUGGCCUCUAUUUUGGAAGUCAGGUCUACAAGUUGCUUUUCAUGAUGGGAUGUAGCUGUUUUUUGCUCCUGGGUGAGUUCCUUCACAGCUUUUUCCUGAUGUUUCAUGAAGUCAAACAGAUUGUCCCAGUUACCUUGAACUUGCGCAGUCAAAUGGUGAAUUUCUUUUCCAGGAGUUGGGAGGUAACCAGGCAGGCGAUGCUGUGACACGGAGGAAGAGGGUGUAGUUUCAGUGGAUGUGGAUGUGCAAAGUUGCAUAGGUUCUGGCUGAAAUGAAACAGUUCCACCUGGAGGGGCGGAGGCAAAGUGCACCUGAGACCGGGGAUAGGGACUGCUGUACUGAGUUGGGGUGAAGUGAAAGGUGGGAAACUGAGGUGGAGGAACGGGGCUUGGUUGCACAGUCGGCCAAACUGGAGUUGCUAUGUCUGGGGGUGGUUCAAUUUCCACAGAGGUCGACGGUGAAGGAGGAAUAGUGGCCAUGGUUUUAUGGUGUUGUUUGUCCAUGUUGUGUGAAUAAUCAUUAAAUGAGAUCAGUAACGUGGAAUGACUAUGUCUGUUUGACUAUGGGGGGGGGGGGUAUAAAAUAAAAAAAAUAAAAUAAUAAAGUACA
Long non-coding RNA from Cyprinus carpio (common carp), 2534 nucleotides. NCBI's taxonomy places the organism in Eukaryota, Metazoa, Chordata, Actinopteri, Cypriniformes, Cyprinidae. The record is from Ensembl.